Small nuclear RNA from Otolemur garnettii (small-eared galago), 103 nucleotides. NCBI's taxonomy places the organism in Eukaryota, Metazoa, Chordata, Mammalia, Primates, Galagidae. The record is from Ensembl.
AUACUCUCUUCAGCAGCACAUAUACUAAAAUUGGAAUGAUGCUUAGGUUAGCAUGGCCCCUGGCAAGGAUGACACACAAAUUAGUGAACCAUCCCAUACUUAG